RNAcentral lists this long non-coding RNA (567 nucleotides) under Homo sapiens (human). RNAcentral's name for it is "novel transcript". The record is from RNAcentral. Lineage: Eukaryota; Metazoa; Chordata; Mammalia; Primates; Hominidae.
AGUCAAGUAUGACUGCCACAGAGAAAUGGUCCCAUCCAGGAAAUCAGAUAUUGAGUCCUACCUGAGUUUCCAGCAAGAAGCUCUGGCUUUCUGGAUCUGUGCUUCUCUGGUAGAGGAACCCUGAGGACUGAUCUACUCUUGCAGUUCUAAAACCAUGGCCCAUGCCUCGCUAUUCCCUGGGACACAACAAUAUUGAACGUAGGCUAGUUAAUAGCCCUACAAUCUCCUCUAAGUGUUCGAGUGAAAGGAAGAGUCACAUGUGUCUCACUUUAAACCAAAAGCUAGAAAUGAUUAAACUUAGUGAGGAAAGCAUGUUGAAAGUCCAGACAGGCUGGAAGCGAGGUCUCCUGUGCCAAACAGCAGGCCAAGUUGCACAUGCAAAGGAAAUGUUCUCGAAGCAAAUUAAAAGUAUUACUCCAGUGAACACACAAUGACAAGAAAGCGAAACAGUUUUAUUGCUGAUGUGGAGAAAGUUUUAGUGGUCUGGAUAGAAGAUCAAACCAGCCACAACGUUCUGUUAAGCCUAAACCUAAUCCAGAGCAAGGCCCUAAUGCUCUUCAAUUCUAU